This 205-nucleotide ribosomal RNA is filed under the name uncultured bacterium. RNAcentral describes it as "partial 16S ribosomal RNA". It matches the Rfam family "Bacterial small subunit ribosomal RNA", at positions 328 to 538 of the family's 1533-position model. The record is from RNAcentral.
ACGCUCGACACCUACGGAGGCAGCAGUGGGGAAUAUUGCACAAUGGGGGAAACCCUGAUGCAGCGACGCCGCGUGAAGGAAGAAGUAUCUCGGUAUGUAAACUUCUAUCAGCAGGGAAGAAAAUGACGGUACCUGACUAAGAAGCCCCGGCUAACUACGUGCCAACAGCCGCCGGUAAGUACUGAGGCGGGCGUGGCGAAGGACG